This 253-nucleotide ribosomal RNA is filed under the name uncultured bacterium. Its description in RNAcentral is "partial 16S ribosomal RNA". It matches the Rfam family "Bacterial small subunit ribosomal RNA", at positions 524 to 776 of the family's 1533-position model. The record is from RNAcentral.
UACGUAGGGAGCAAGCGUUGUUCGGAUUUACUGGGCGUAAAGGGCGCGUAGGCGGCAUAUUAAGUCAUCUGUGAAAUCUCCGAGCUUAACUCGGAACUGUCAGCUGAUACUGAUGUGCUAGAGUGCGGAAGGGGCAAUCGGAAUUCUUGGUGUAGCGGUGAAAUGCGUAGAUAUCAAGAGGAACACCUGAGGUGAAGACGGGUUGCUGGCCGACACUGACGCUGAGUGCGCGAAAGCCAGGGGAGCAAACGGG